Pyrus x bretschneideri (Chinese white pear) is the source of this 1507-nucleotide long non-coding RNA. RefSeq lists it as uncharacterized. The transcript is spliced from 5 exons. The record is from RefSeq and is a predicted model, not a curated record. NCBI's taxonomy places the organism in Eukaryota, Viridiplantae, Streptophyta, Magnoliopsida, Rosales, Rosaceae.
CAAAGUGCUAUAAAAUGGUUUGUUGAGACAUUUAAGGUGACGUAAUUACUGCAAGCUUUGCAUGAUGAAGCCUUCAUCGCUCAAAGGUCCCACGAGUUCUAUAAAAUCACAUAUUCACUUUCCCUUUUACUCUCAUACUUUCCCCAAAACCCUCAAGUUCCCCUUGUUUUCUUCCUCGCCAAACCCCUCAUAUCACAAUUCUUGUUUUAUUUUUUUGUACGAUGGCUGAUUCUGCUGCAGCUCCAACUAAAGGAUGUGAGGGAGAAGGAUCUCGGAAAGACAUAAAAAACAAGAGAAUGUUUAGGCGGGCCAAAAGGGGGAUCAAUAAUGAUGGGCUAAGGCGAAUCAACUACGAUGAUUUCAAUGGAUUUGAGAGGGAGUCGCACAUCAUGCUUGCGCAUGACAUUGGAAUAGUAUUGCAAAGAACAAAUGUCCUACAGAGUGGGCAUCUUUGAAAAACGUGCUAGAAGACCUGAAAAAGUCUAUGUUGGAUGACUUAUCAGUAAAUUCUUAUAUAUUAAAUUAAUAAUUAUUUUUAUUAUGUAAUAUAUGAUAAUGUUUAAUAUUUAAUAUAUUUUUUUUGCAUAACUUAUUUAAAUUUUUUCUUUCAAUUUUUUCGUACUACUGCCGUCUUACUUGAGCAAAUGUAGACCUUAUGCUGGUUGCUCGAGUUGGCUCUUGGGUGCCCGAGUCAUCGACGUAUUCUGUGACGCUUCCACUUAGCAUUCGUUAGACUCACCGAUGUUCUCGUAUGCCCAACACCCCUUAGCUUCGGCAUCUACUAUCGAAUGAGAGGGAUCCCAGGCAGCCAAGAAAAACACUUAUGGUCCAUGCCGACAUCUGAAGACGGCGAAGGUUAUACACGCGACCAAUGCUCGUAUCAUUGUUGGAUUUGACAAGCAACAUUAGGCAACCCCAAUGACAAAGCAACGUAGCAGCUUGGCCCACGACAUAGGGCAAGUAGUCCGGACCAAUUGCCUUAUGCGAUGGGAUUCUUAGUAAGCAAUGUCAGAGGAAAUGAAGAAAAUGAUACACCAUCAUUUGUCGACAAACUAUAAUAUUGACGACAUGGAUGAGAAGAUGGCCACGUACAUAUACGAGCAGUUCACAACCCAAUACAAGCAGUGGAAGAGCGACCUCCACAAGUUUUUUGAGCCCUAUGAUGGUCAAGAGGCCGCUCUCCUUGGGGAGGCCUUUCCGAGUUAGAAAAGUGCCUAAAGGACUGAGAGUGGCUUUGCAAGCAUUUUCAGAACAAGAAAUAUUUGAAGAGAGCCAAGGCCAACAAGAUCAAUCGAUUGAAGAAGAUACCUUUUCACCGGUCGGGUUCCAAAUUCCGCGAGAUCGACAUGUUUAAAGACGAUUAUGUUCGACCUGGGGAUGAGACAACUGUCACAUCCCGGCCCGGGGUGGAUCACUUCCCGGGCCCGCUCCACCACCGUAGCACAAUAUUGUCCGCUUUGGGCUUACCAUUCCCUCACGGUUUUGUUUUUUGGGAACUCACGAGCAA